The sequence is a transfer RNA, 102 nucleotides long. It matches the Rfam family "tRNA". From Rfam's summary of the family: Transfer RNA (tRNA) molecules are approximately 80 nucleotides in length. The record is from Rfam.
GCAUUGGUAGUGUAGUGGUAUCACGGGACGUUGCCAUCCCGCCUUCGAUCAAGGCUUUACCACGAAUUCGUCCCGACCGGGGUUCGAUUCCCCGUCAAUGCA